Molecule: long non-coding RNA, 428 nt
Filed under: Parus major (Great Tit)
Lineage: Eukaryota; Metazoa; Chordata; Aves; Passeriformes; Paridae
Description: lncRNA (ENSPMJG00000016321.1)
Source: RNAcentral
CUUUCAAUUUGAAUCCAUUCCUCCCAUCCUGUCACUGCAUGCUCUUGUAUAUAGUAAUUCUUAAAAGGUUAAGAUGAUACUUAUGUAAGCAAGUUAAGUUCCUUUUCUGUUUAUUUAGUUUUUAAAAGGACUAAAUUGCUAUUAAACAAGAAAGAAAUACCUACAUCCUUCAACCAAAAACACGUUAAAAUGAAUGAAGACAAUGCUGGCAGUGCUGGCUUUUGAUGAUACAGGUUAAAGUUGUCAGAAGCCUCUCAGCAAGUGACAAUGCUGUGUCCUGUUACAUGAUGGAGGUGACUCCCGUUGCCUCAGUACGUACUACUGAACUACCUGCCAAACAAUCUUUCUGCUUCAAGGCUACGUGUUUUCCAGGAAUAUUUCUAUCAGGGCAUUUCAUUCCUGUUUCAAAAUGUAAGGAAUAUCAGUGA